RNAcentral lists this ribosomal RNA (505 nucleotides) under uncultured bacterium. RNAcentral describes it as "partial 16S ribosomal RNA". It matches the Rfam family "Bacterial small subunit ribosomal RNA", at positions 30 to 523 of the family's 1533-position model. The record is from RNAcentral.
AUUGAACGCUGGCGGCAGGCCUAACACAUGCAAGUCGAACGGUAACAGGAAGCAGCUUGCUGCUUCGCUGACGAGUGGCGGACGGGUGAGUAAUGUCUGGGAAACUGCCUGAUGGAGGGGGAUAACUACUGGAAACGGUAGCUAAUACCGCAUAACGUCGCAAGACCAAAGAGGGGGACCUCCGGGCCUCUUGCCAUCGGAUGUGCCCAGAUGGGAUUAGCUAGUAGGUGGGGUAACGGCUCACCUAGGCGACGAUCCCUAGCUGGUCUGAGAGGAUGACCAGCCACACUGGAACUGAGACACGGUCCAGACUCCUACGGGAGGCAGCAGUGGGGAAUAUUGCACAAUGGGCGCAAGCCUGAUGCAGCCAUGCCGCGUGUAUGAAGAAGGCCUUCGGGUUGUAAAGUACUUUCAGCGGGGAGGAAGGCGAUAGGUUAAUAACCUUGUCGAUUGACGUUACCCGCAGAAGGAGCACCGGCUAACUCCGUGCCAGCAGCCGCAGUAA